This 84-nucleotide small nucleolar RNA is filed under the name Hermanssonia centrifuga. RNAcentral describes it as "Phlebia centrifuga Small nucleolar RNA R38". It matches the Rfam family "Small nucleolar RNA R38". Rfam says of the family: snoR38 is a C/D box small nucleolar RNA conserved across yeast, human, Arabidopsis and rice. It is encoded in the intron of elongation factor-1 gamma in both pombe and cerevisiae. snoR38 guides the methylation of 2'-O-ribose sites in 28S rRNA. The record is from Rfam by way of RNAcentral. Lineage: Eukaryota; Fungi; Basidiomycota; Agaricomycetes; Polyporales; Meruliaceae.
GCCGGAAGAAGAUGAGAAUCAUUCACAAUCAGUUAUCCCUGUCUUAACAAUUAUGUCGAGAUAUAACCAGAUUCUGAUUCCUCC